This 199-nucleotide long non-coding RNA is filed under the name Capsicum annuum. RNAcentral describes it as "long non-coding RNA (CANN_LNC011168)". The record is from RNAcentral. Lineage: Eukaryota; Viridiplantae; Streptophyta; Magnoliopsida; Solanales; Solanaceae.
UGCCAUCGAACUCCGCAAAAAGCCCCUUCAAUAGUUUCCCUGGCUCUAUCCGUUGCUUCAUAUGUAUAGCACCUUGGUGGUUUUAUUUCCCAUCCACCAAACGAAGCACAUUGAUCAAAGGACCACAAACUUUAAGUGCUCAGAUAACGUCAUUCAAAAAGUGUGCAGAAAUAAUAUGGUUGGCUUCUUUUCCCAAAAU